CCUACGGGUGGCAGCAGUGGGGAAUAUUGCGCAAUGGGCGCAAGCCUGAUGCAGCCAUGCCGCGUGUGUGAAGAAGGCCUUCGGGUUGUAAAGCACUUUCAGCGGGGAGGAAGGCGGUGAGGUUAAUAACCUCAUCGAUUGACGUUACCCGCAGAAGAAGCACCGGCUAACUCCGUGCCAGCAGCCGCGGUAAUACGGAGGGUGCAAGCGUUAAUCGGAAUUACUGGGCGUAAAGCGCACGCAGGCGGUCUGUCAAGUCGGAUGUGAAAUCCCCGGGCUCAACCUGGGAACUGCAUUCGAAACUGGCAGGCUAGAGUCUUGUAGAGGGGGGUAGAAUUCCAGGUGUAGCGGUGAAAUGCGUAGAGAUCUGGAGGAAUACCGGUGGCGAAGGCGGCCCCCUGGACAAAGACUGACGCUCAGGUGCGAAAGCGUGGGGAGCAAACAGGAUUAGAUACCCCAGUAGUC
Molecule: ribosomal RNA, 465 nt
Filed under: uncultured Klebsiella sp.
Lineage: Bacteria; Pseudomonadati; Pseudomonadota; Gammaproteobacteria; Enterobacterales; Enterobacteriaceae
Description: bacterial SSU rRNA
Rfam family: Bacterial small subunit ribosomal RNA
Source: RNAcentral